GGAUCGAACUCGGGACCUUGUGCCUGCAAGGCAGGCGGUGGAACCACUGAGCUAAAUCCCCAGCCCUCAUAAGUGGGCUUUUAAGAAGUGAUUGGAUAAUGGUGGCAUGAUACUCGUCAGUGGAUUAGUCUACUGACAAAAUUUCUUGAAAAGCCUGAAGUCAGGACUGGGCUUUGAUCGAGUUAUGACUGUUGUCAGCAGAAGACAAGACUCCUUCCACAAUUGCUGGCACAGCCCAAUUCCUCUUGAUGAAGACAGUAAUGAGUCAUGCCAUUGCAUGGACUGUUUUCAGGAAGGCAGUCAAACCAGUGAUUUCUAAAACCAUGGAAUUCCAUGGAAUCAUCUUGGGAGAGAGUGUUGCCUGAGAAAAAAAGAGAGCCAAUGAUUAUGUCCUGGAAAGAUCUCAGCUUUUAGGGGUUAAGCAGAAGAGGAGGAGUAGGUAAAGGAGGCUGAGCAAUGAACACUGGAGGACCAAAAAGAAAAGUUUUUUGGACGGGACGAUGUGUUUCGAUUUUCUGUUCUGCCGUCCAGUCUGAAGUGGGGGCAGCAACAGGAAAAGAACCUGUGGUUAUCUUCCCAUCCCGGCUAAGUCAGGUCCUGGACCGUCCAAAGUUGGACUUUGGCACUUUCCCUCUCAGCAACAUUCGAAAGGCUCCCUCGAAGAAUACGAUUUUGUGCUUAAGAGGAAGAGCGCUGGGAGAUGAGCGAGGGGGCGAGCGAGCCGGAAAGAGGAGCGCGGAGAGCGCGGCCGCCCCGCCGUCGGAGGCGCACAGAGC
Molecule: long non-coding RNA, 776 nt
Organism: Heterocephalus glaber (naked mole-rat)
Lineage: Eukaryota; Metazoa; Chordata; Mammalia; Rodentia; Bathyergidae
Source: Ensembl